ACGGGGUGGGCGAGCGUUGCCCGGAAUUACUGGGUUUAAAGGGGGUGUAGGCGGUCUGGAUAGUCGGGUGUGUAAUGCAAUCGCUCAACGAUUGAGCUGCAUCUGAUACUUCCAGGCUAGAGGGCGGUAGAGGAGAGCGGAACUCCCGGUGUAGCGGUGAAAUGCGUAGAUAUCGGGAGGAACGCCGGUGGCGAAGGCGGCUCUCUGGGCCGUUCCUGACGCUGAGGCCCGAAAGCUGGGGGAGCGAAAGG
This 251-nucleotide ribosomal RNA is filed under the name uncultured bacterium. RNAcentral describes it as "partial 16S ribosomal RNA". It matches the Rfam family "Bacterial small subunit ribosomal RNA", at positions 525 to 775 of the family's 1533-position model. The record is from RNAcentral.